This 209-nucleotide ribosomal RNA is filed under the name Tetrabaena socialis. Its description in RNAcentral is "small subunit ribosomal RNA". It matches the Rfam family "Bacterial small subunit ribosomal RNA", at positions 196 to 404 of the family's 1533-position model. The record is from RNAcentral. Lineage: Eukaryota; Viridiplantae; Chlorophyta; Chlorophyceae; Chlamydomonadales; Tetrabaenaceae.
GCUUGGCGUACCUGUCAGGUCGUCAGGCAAAACUCGCGCAGGAUUAGGCCGUUGGGUGGGAGACGCAAAAAGGCUGCCCAAACCUUAUCCUUAGCCUAACUAAGCGGUGUCAGGCCACGGUGGCACUGAAAAAGGGGCCACGGUUCUCCGAAUCCAGCAGUUGUGAAUUUUGGUCAAUCGCUUGAGAGGCGGAACGAGAUGCCGCGUAC